RNAcentral lists this transfer RNA (91 nucleotides) under Bacteroidales bacterium. RNAcentral describes it as "tRNA-Ser". It matches the Rfam family "tRNA". From Rfam's summary of the family: Transfer RNA (tRNA) molecules are approximately 80 nucleotides in length. Their secondary structure includes four short double-helical elements and three loops (D, anti-codon, and T loops). Lineage: Bacteria; Pseudomonadati; Bacteroidota; Bacteroidia; Bacteroidales. The record is from RNAcentral.
GGAGAGAUGGCCGAGUGGUCUAAGGCGCACGCCUGGAAAGUGUGUAUGCGGCAAAACUGCAUCGUGGGUUCGAAUCCCACUUUCUCCGCAA